This 163-nucleotide ribosomal RNA is filed under the name uncultured bacterium. Its description in RNAcentral is "partial 16S ribosomal RNA". It matches the Rfam family "Bacterial small subunit ribosomal RNA", at positions 355 to 510 of the family's 1533-position model. The record is from RNAcentral.
UAGGGAAUCUUCCACAAUGGGCGAAAGCCUGAUGGAGCAACGCCGCGUGUGUGAUGAAGGGUUUCGGCUCGUAAAACACUGUUGUAAGAGAAGAAUGACAUUGAGAGUAACUGUUCAAUGUGUGACGGUAUUUAACCAGAAAGCCACGGCUAACUACGUGCAG